Molecule: RNA transcript, 6105 nt
Organism: Oncorhynchus keta (chum salmon)
Lineage: Eukaryota; Metazoa; Chordata; Actinopteri; Salmoniformes; Salmonidae
Exons: 9
Source: RefSeq, a predicted model, not a curated record
CUACAGUUGGCAUCCAUGCCAUACUUGUGACAUACAGUUCAUUCAGGUUUAGCUCAUGUCAGCUACGAUGUAGUUGGAAUCAUUUUUAAUAACUGGCUCUCUGAAGUUUAUUUUGCUGCCACCAAGGUGAACGUCUUUCUGCCCACCAUCUUUUCUCAUUUCAACUUUGACCCUUCGCCUCUGACCCAACAACACAUGGCAUGCUUCUGUCCUCGUUUAUUCAAAACUAUAUUUAUUUAUUUGUUUUUUCAUCAUAUUAUUGUACAAAACAACGGAAACGUAGCUAAUACACCAGUAUUUAUUGUUUUGAGUGGUCUUUUUAGUGGUCUGGGGAUCCAGUAUUGCGUCGCUGAUUGCAUUGAUUGACAGAUCUUCCCUGAAGUUGUUUUAUUGCGUCAAAGUGCAUUCACAUUAUGACGUUGGCUGAGUUACCGUAUAAAAUGCGAUAGUUUAUCUCUUUGGUAACCACUUGGUAAAGUUUUACAUGAUGGGAACAUAGGCUCCAGCCAUAGACUUUAACCAUGGAGGAUAAUAAGAGUUUAAACGAAGAUGAUCCACGUGAUCAUCAAGGUUUGGAAGGUCAAGUCCAGAAAAUGAAGAAUGAUAUCCUGGGUUUAAACUAUCCAGAAGAUAGUGAAGUGAAGGAUCCCCUGCCUCAGAUCGAGCUGAAGGCUGUGACAAGGAGAAAAGUUAAGACCAAGAGGAGGACCAGUGCCAACAGGUCCACAGUUGAACAGAGCACUGAUACUGAUGCAGCUGAGAGAGAUUUUGUUGAUAAUCAGAAUGAUGAAGAUGAGGUGAAGAAGGAUCCCCUGCCUCAGAUGGAGCAGGAUGCCGUAAAGAGAAAUAAAGUCAAGACCAAGAGGACCAAGAGAAACAAAGCGGAGCAGAUCACUGAUACAGAUGCAGGUCCCUCUACAUCUGUGGAAUUCUCUGGGAUGACAGUUCAGGGGACAUCUCACCAGGGACAAUCUAAUGAAAAGAUCCUAAAUGAGUGUGUCUCCAGGGCCUGUCAGACCAGGGCUCUUGACCUCCCGCUAAUCGAUCCGGAUGCUUUCAACCCGAUUAUCAUCCGGUUUCUGGAAAAACUUACUGAGGAGCAAUGGAGGCAGUUAAGCAUUGGCAGGAUGGACCCUGUGAUGAGGGCAUUGCUUGCAGAGAUGUGCCUGGAGAUUGUGCGGUUUGUAUCUGAGGCCAUCCUGGAGGUCAUCAUCCCUGCAAUUUUCCGUUUUGUACGGAUAUACAGCCAUGUGUCUCCAGUAUCCGGCAAGUCUCUGACAGAAUCAGAGAGAUCCUCUAGCACAAACCUGAAGGUUCGCAAAAGAGGCAGCAGCAAAUCCUCAAGGUCUUGCACGGCCAAAUCAAGCUCCUCUCGUAAUGGGUCUCAGACAGUGUUGCCAAAUACUCAGGGAGAUGGUGAGUCGAUAUCAUCUGAGCCACUCAGUGACAUUUUUGGGAUCACUGAGGACAGUCUCCUCACUAGUGUCCAGGAUUCCUUCAAAGAGUCGCUGAACAAUGUCCUCUGUAUCCAAAGAGAGGGCCAGGUAGACACUCAAAGUCUAUCCCGGGUUAUUGUUGGAGAAGUGUCAAAGAAGGUCAAUUCCAUAAUCUCUGUGGCCAUCCAAACUCCCGUCUCUGGGCGAAUGUCCCCUGUCAUUUUUGCCAGUGGUGGUGUCUCCAGCACCAAGGUGGUUGAGGAGAUGGUGUCUGGCGUUUCCAACAUACUUCAGAUGUACAUUAAUGGGAAGAGUGUUGAGCAGAGUGUUGUUCUCAGAGAGGAUGGUGUUGAGGUGGAUAUGACACAUUUAACAGGACAGGUCAUGACAGCCCUCAGUGGCACUGUUUUGAACUUCAGCAAUAAGGAGGAAAAUGAUCCCGACAAGAGGGAACUGCUUUGUGUUGUUGCUGACCAUAUGAAUAUGCUUGAAGCUUGUAAAAGUCCUGAGGAGAUGCUAAAACAAGGAGAGAGCAACCUCAAUAUCAAAGGUGCCAAAUCUAGUCUUCGUCUGUCAACACAAAGUAUGGACAGACUACUCACUGAGGAGUUUCAGACCAAGGCCACUGAAUCGAUCCGGGAGAUUGUUAAAAGAUUCAGGGGUUGUACAUCAUGUUGUUCUGGCACUACAUCAUCUAGUCCAACUCCUAGGAUUGGUGAGAUCAGAGACCUUAUGAUUGAGCCUGAGGCCUCUGAGUUGGUAAGUACCUUUGUUUCAGACAUGGACAAUCUUACCCAGUUUAUCAGGGCAUCCUGCUCUCCUGCACAGAGUGAGCAGAUCCUUCUUGAAAACCAUCAGAGUAAGAUCUGGUCUUACACUGUUGGCUGUUACUACGACAUGAAAAAUACGCUGAAGAGGAUUCUUACCUGUCCAGAAAAAGGGGAUCUCGCAAGUACAUUUGUGGGGAGCACAAAAGAUUAUUUCACAAUGGUUCCAACUUUGUGCCUGGACGUCGGUCAUUCCAGUAAUGGUGAGGCUGACACAUCCGACUCCAUUUCUUGUAAACCACUUUUAAUAACCCCCUCAUCUAUGAAUGAACAAAAAGGACAAAGUGAGACCCCAAAACCUUUCUUGGCUCUCAACAAGUAUUUGCAAGACCAAGUCCUCCUUGACACCACAAAAGCGAUUGCCAGCCAGGUUCUAGUCUUGUAUAAGACAGAGUUGAUGGAGAAGUUCUCAUCUUCUGUUGGAGAGUGUGAUUCUGAAGAGUCUCUGGAGGCCAUUCUAUUUGUGGAUGGGAUCAUGUCUGACUUGAAUGAUUUCACCAGUUCUUGUUCCGCCUCACCAUCUGAGUUGUUAGACAGUGAACAAUGUCUCUCCCAUCUCACUUUUCCACUUGGUAUGCAGGACAGCACCACCAACAGUGAAUCUACCCAGAGUCUUCCAGUUAUAAAUAUGAAGAAACUCUCCAGUGUGUCUUUCCAGACAAAGGCUAGAAAGGCAGUGAGUGAAGCUCUGAGAUCUGUCAACCCUUUUACAAACAGCUUACUGGGAGACUCUGAAGCAUCUAUAUUACUGGACACUUUUGUAACAGAUGUGAAGACUAUUGUUCAGUCCAUGCAGGCACAUGAAUCUGAAAUUCUCAGAAUUUCAAAAGUGAGCACCCUUUCUGCUGCUCGUAUUAUAUAUCAUAGAUUUCGAGAAAUGCUGAGGCGGUUUCUCACUCCCUGCCAAGACUCUGUAAAGGUCAUCGAUGGUGUUACACCAAUACAUGACGAGACUCUCAAACAGGCUCCUAGUGAAAGUUUAGAUUCUCAGGUGACUUGUAAUAGUGAUUCUCCUGAAAUCCAAGCGGACCUUCAAACCUGUACCAAGGAGGUCAUUAGUCAGAUCCUCACUGUGUAUCACUCUGAGGAAUCCAUGGAGAAAUGCCUCUCUAGCCUAAAAGGAGAUACAGAAGACAUGUCCAAGCUUUUGGACGCCGUUGUUUCUCAGAUUGACGUCCUUGCCGCCUCCAAAUCAUAUUUAUCUGUUGAUGACUAUGCUGUCAAUACACAGGACAAUUUGCAUGGUGAGAUCAACAAUGAUGAAGAGGAAGCAUCCUCUAGAAGUCUUAAAUCCACAGCCUUUGACAAACUAUGUACUGAUGAGUUUCAAACUAAAGCCUCACAUUUGGCUGGUGGGAUCCUCCAAUCAGGGUUGAUUGGCAAUGUAAAUACCAGCCUUGAUGGUAGAAGUGCAGAGUCCAGUAAUGAUGGUGAUGAUAGAGAUUUCAAAAUCCUUCAGAGCCGUGGAACUCCACCUUUGUUCACCUCUUCUCUACACACCAAUUCUGCAGCAUCCAACAUCGUCAUAAGCAUCACUAAAGACCUUAAUAGCUUCACCCAGAUGACUAAAAUGUCUGAUGCUUCAGUGUCUGGCCAGUUAGAGAGAUCCGUGUCAGCUUCAACCCUUCCUGUCAGUGUUCACAACGGGGUCAAUGUGAAAGGAAAGAUCAUUUGGCCAGGCACUGUUAACCUGUUCAACAAUGUGUUCGUCAAGGUCAAGGAUUUUUUUGCCCAGCAACAACCGGUACUCCUAGACAAUGUGGUUGAGGCCCCCAAACAUGCCAAAUCCAUAUGCAGAACAGCUACUUCUACACAAAUGACUUACAGUGAACAUGAAGGCAGCCAGACCAGCAUGGUAAAUUAUUCCAAAGCCUUAAUUAGUCAGACUUUGAUGACAAUCCAGAGGAGAGUGUCUAUGUCAGAGAGGAUGAGCACCUCAGAGAAAGGCCUCUUGACUCGUUCCAUCGUGGGCUCCAUGUUGGAGGAUGUUGACAUGGUGAGAACUGAUGGACACGAGAUACACCAGCCAUCCUCCUCAAAGUCCUCCCUUUCCAUCACCUCUGCCAUGACCAGAGGGUCCCAGAGUGAUUUUACAAAUUCUCUUCCAGGCACUCCAGUCCCCAAUGAGUGGCCUGUUGAAAUCUAUUGUCCUAUCAUUAGGAGUUCGGUCAUUGAUAUGAGUGACUCUUCAACUCAUUCACAAGGGUCAACAAAUUACACAAGGCAAACCAUCUCUGCCAUAGUUGACACUGUUAUGGAGGUCAUUCCAAGAGAAGAUACGGAACACAUAGCCACUGCAGAUGAUGUCACUUCUUUUACAAGAAGACUUGCGAGACUCAGCCCCAGGGGCGGUCUUCAGAACUUCUCACAUGAGCUCACUGACAAAGUUUAUGAGCUCAUAAAAAGUCACAACACCCCCCAGGCUCUUUUUGUGCCAGCUGGCAAGAGCGUGUCUGACUCUAUUCUUUUGAAGCUGAAGACAGAAUUGAAUGCUUCUGAAGAAUCCAGGGAGUUUCCAUCUGACCUUGUGUACUCCUUUGCUACGGAGUCAAUAAAACGUCUGCUACAGCAGAUUGUCUUCUGGCUUCCUCCACCAUCACAAGGAUCAGAUUUCUGCCAAACUAUCAUCUCUGAUGGUUCUCUGCAGGAAACAAGUCAGCUUAUCCCGAGCUCUUCUGCCAUCUCCAUUAGUUCCUCACAGGUUUACUGUGACACAAAGAGCCUUUUCACCAAUAUAAUGGUCAAUCAGGUCAUGUAUACCUGUUCUGUGGCCUCCAAUUCAUCAGAAGAAUUAUCAGAGUUGAUGAACGUAAUCAAUGGGUUGUCCCCAACUGAUGCUGGAACACUUGACUCUGACAGACCGGCUCUCAUGACCACUAGCCGUCAGUCUAGUGCCAAAUCAUUGCCUAGACCCUCUCUGUCUGGCAACAGCACACACAACGGUGGAACUGUGGAUUAUCAAGUUUUAGGAGAGGUGGAAUCCAAGAUGGACAACAAAGAUCUGGAGAUGUCUAGUGUCUCUGUGCAUCCAUCAACUCCAUCAGCCAUGGACUCUGAUACACAUGCAUCAUUUGACUCCACUAGCAAUGACUACACCUCUUUGGUACUUUUACUGAUUGUUAGACUGCUGUCAAUGAUCACCCCUAUCACAUUACUGGAAUCCUCUGACAUUGGUGAAACAUCAAGAGUUCUCACAAAGAGGAUUCUGUCUGAGUUCUGUGGCACCUCAGGCCUUGAACCAACUCAAGCCUACCCCAGAAUCUGAAAAUCAAAAAGAUUUUCAAGGCUGUCUACAAGGGGCUUCUUCAAGAAUUUGGGUCAGAGAAGAUGCUCCAGGUUGCAAUGAAGUCAACGGAUUAUGCAUUUGACGAUGCCCUGGUCAAAUCAUUAACUAGGGAACUACUAACUAAAUGCAAUGAGGCUAGCUCUUCACCUCCCUCCAAUACCCAGUUGUCAUCACACAAUGCACUUGGCAGUGACGAGGUAGGUAAUUAUGGGCUUCCAACAACUGGUAGAAAGGAAAAGAAGAGAGGAAGAUUCAGCACUCUCUGUGGACUCCACCCAAAGGUACAUAUGUCAUCAAAAUACAAAUUAUAAAGAUGAUUUGUAUUCAUUACAUACAGUAUGAUGGUAAACACUGAUACCUUUUGUGUGCAAUUUGUCCUACUGCUGAAAUGACUGUCUGUUACCCAGUGUACAAAGAAGGUCAACAAGAAGAACCACUGCACUCCAACACCUUCCCAGAACCAGACCCCUGCCGGUAGUGAAACAGCAAUUGUCAAUGAUCAAGAAUCCUGCCGAACAGAGAGUGUGUGCUCCACCAAGAAGAAACCAAGGAAGCG